RNAcentral lists this ribosomal RNA (405 nucleotides) under uncultured bacterium. RNAcentral's name for it is "partial 16S ribosomal RNA". It matches the Rfam family "Bacterial small subunit ribosomal RNA", at positions 28 to 526 of the family's 1533-position model. The record is from RNAcentral.
GACGAACGCUGGCGGCGUGCUUAACACAUGCAAGUCGAGCGGAGCGGCGAACGGGUGAGUAACGCGUGAGUAACUGCCCCCCUCCCUGGGAUAACAGUUGGAAACGGCUGCUAAUACCGGAUAGUGGGGGAUGACUCGCGUCCUAUCAGCUUGUUGGUGGGGUAGUGGCCUACCAAGGCGACGACGGGUAGCCGGCCUUGGAGGGGGACCGGCCAAAAUGGGCCAAAGUACAGCCCCAACUCCUACGGGAGGCAGCGGGGGGGAAUUUGGCAAAAUGGGGGAAACGCUGAUGCAGCAACGCCGCGUGCGGGAUGACGGCCUUCGGGUGGUAAACCGCUUUCAGCCAUGACGCGGUAGUGGCAGAAGAAGCACCGGCUAACUACGUGCCAGCAGCCGCGGUAAUAC